UCCAGUUAAUACCAACUCCACGUUAACCACUGGAGUCGAGAAAACACUGUCCUACCCUUGAGCAGUUCAAGACUGAGGCUACAGGCAGACUGGGAGGAAAACAUGAUGACCUGCAUCACAUCAAUAUAGGAAGACAACCUUAUGAACACCUAUGAAACAGGAAUCCUAGACGCAGCCCAUCUGCCGAUGCGCUGGGGACACAUAAGCAUUGCCUUGGCAGAAUACCUGGCAUCUUCCAGGAGGAGGAUGGGUGCAAAUUGGCAAGGACACAAUAUGCAAGGAUGCUUCAGUGAGCAGCUAAGGGCAAUAAGAAAAAAAUCUGUGCCAUAGCUUUCAUACCCCUGGGGACAGCCGUGGGGUUCCAAGCUAGCAGGCCCUAAGCCGGUCACAGGUAUCAUAUCAUGUUUUCAGGACGAGAUAGCUGUGCGUGAGUGUCUGGAGGAAGGACGCUGUGCGGGGAGACCCGUGGAAUCCUUUUGUCUUUGCGCUCCCCUUCCAGGCUGCCCCUGGUCAUUAUGGGAUGAAUCUGAAGCAGAGCACCGCAUCGAUGGGUUUUGGGAAACGUCUGUGGGAGAGCUGCGGUGACGUCACUUCGCACAAUACCCUGACCACUGCUUGAGUGGGUAUUCCCUUUGUCUCAUGGAGCCGUGCAGAGCCGUGACUCGUCUAGUCUCUAGUGCCAGCCAAUGCAGGGACAGAGGAGGCAGUCUGCAGGAGGCUAUGGACCUGGUGAUUUCAGUUGCUA
Jaculus jaculus (lesser Egyptian jerboa) is the source of this 745-nucleotide long non-coding RNA. RefSeq lists it as uncharacterized. The transcript has 3 exons. NCBI's taxonomy places the organism in Eukaryota, Metazoa, Chordata, Mammalia, Rodentia, Dipodidae. The record is from RefSeq and is a predicted model, not a curated record.